This is a non-coding RNA of Triticum aestivum (bread wheat), 135 nucleotides long. NCBI's taxonomy places the organism in Eukaryota, Viridiplantae, Streptophyta, Magnoliopsida, Poales, Poaceae. The record is from Rfam.
CAACUACUCCCUCUGUCCCAAAUUUCUUGUCUUAGAUUUGUCUAGAUACGGAUGUAUCUAAUACUAAAAUGUGACUUGAUACAUCCGUAUCUAGACAAAUCUAAGACAAGAAUUUUGGGACGGAGGGAGUAAUUU